Molecule: long non-coding RNA, 175 nt
Filed under: Chinchilla lanigera (long-tailed chinchilla)
Lineage: Eukaryota; Metazoa; Chordata; Mammalia; Rodentia; Chinchillidae
Description: lncRNA (ENSCLAG00000024143.1)
Source: RNAcentral
CACAGGUAAUGAUGUUCCUGUUCUGCAGAAAUAGGGAUGGCACCUUCAAGUGAAAGUCUUACAAUCUACUCCAGGGAAAAAUCAGAACAUCUUUCUUAGAUUUUAUGAUCUCCUUCUGGGGAGAAGAGCAAGGCAAGUGCUUCUAGGGGCAGAUGGUAUGAAGCGCCGUACUUAG